This 465-nucleotide ribosomal RNA is filed under the name uncultured bacterium. Its description in RNAcentral is "partial 16S ribosomal RNA". It matches the Rfam family "Bacterial small subunit ribosomal RNA", at positions 28 to 507 of the family's 1533-position model. The record is from RNAcentral.
GACGAACGCUGGCGGCGUGCUUAACACAUGCAAGUCGUACGGUAAGGCCCUUUCGGGGGUACACGAGUGGCGAACGGGUGAGUAACACGUGAGUAACCUGCCCACAACUUUGGGAUAACGCUAGGAAACUGGUGCUAAUACUGGAUAUGUGCUCCUGCUGCAUGGUGGGGGUUGCAAAGCUCCGGCGGUUGUGGAUGGACUCGCGGCCUAUCAGCUUGUUGGUGGGGUAGUGGCCUACCAAGGCGGCGACGGGUAGCCGGCCUGAGAGGGUGACCGGCCACAUUGGGACUGAGAUACGGCCCAGACUCCUACGGGAGGCAGCAGUGGGGAAUAUUGCACAAUGGGCGCAAGCCUGAUGCAGCAACGCCGCGUGCGGGAUGACGGCCUUCGGGUUGUAAACCGCUUUCAGCAGGGACGAAGCUUUUUGUGACGGUACCUGCAGAAGAAGCACCGGCUAACUACGUG